GUACUAAUAAGUUUUGUAAGGGUAUAGUUUAUUUAAUUGAGUGAAAUUAGGCCAGUAGUCUUUCUGAAUGUGAUAGCUGAGAACUGUGAUUCUUCGCUCGAUCAAUUCUUGCCAUCACGCUCUGGCUUUAGCAUCUGCCGAGCACAUCUAAGCGAAAAAUAGAAAAAACUGGAUUUCAAUUGGAUACCCUUUUUCUCUGUUCCAGGUACAAGUCCUCCGAGCACAUCUAAGUGAAAAAUAGAAAAAACUGGAUUUCAAUUAGAUACCCUUUUUCUCUGUUCAAGGUACAAGUCAAGUUGAAUUUACAAA
RNAcentral lists this long non-coding RNA (309 nucleotides) under Nicotiana benthamiana. RNAcentral's name for it is "long non-coding RNA (NBEN_LNC004143)". Lineage: Eukaryota; Viridiplantae; Streptophyta; Magnoliopsida; Solanales; Solanaceae. The record is from RNAcentral.